UACGAAGGGGGCUAGCGUUGCUCGGAAUUACUGGGCGUAAAGGGAGCGUAGGCGGAUUCGUAAGUCAGGGGUGAAAUCCCGGGGCUCAACCUCGGAACUGCCUUUGAUACUGCGGGUCUUGAGUCCGAUAGAGGUGGGUGGAAUUCCUAGUGUAGAGGUGAAAUUCGUAGAUAUUAGGAAGAACACCGGUGGCGAAGGCGGCCCACUGGAUCGGUACUGACGCUGAGGUGCGAAAGCGUGGGGAGCAAACAGG
This 253-nucleotide ribosomal RNA is filed under the name uncultured bacterium. RNAcentral's name for it is "partial 16S ribosomal RNA". It matches the Rfam family "Bacterial small subunit ribosomal RNA", at positions 524 to 776 of the family's 1533-position model. The record is from RNAcentral.